AACAAUCUUCAGGGAGGGGUGUAAUUCCCUACCGGCGGUAAAGCCCGCGAGCAGUGCGUAGCAGUGCAGAUUCGGUUAAAUUCCGAAGCCGACAGUAAAGUCUGGAUGGAAGAAGAUGAGA
This 121-nucleotide non-coding RNA is filed under the name Clostridiales bacterium. RNAcentral describes it as "FMN sequence". It matches the Rfam family "FMN riboswitch aptamer (RFN element)". From Rfam's summary of the family: The RFN element is a highly conserved domain that is found frequently in the 5'-untranslated regions of prokaryotic mRNAs that encode for flavin mononucleotide (FMN) biosynthesis and transport proteins. This element is a metabolite-dependent riboswitch that directly binds FMN in the absence of proteins. Lineage: Bacteria; Bacillati; Bacillota; Clostridia; Eubacteriales. The record is from RNAcentral.